Molecule: ribosomal RNA, 548 nt
Filed under: Triticum aestivum (bread wheat)
Lineage: Eukaryota; Viridiplantae; Streptophyta; Magnoliopsida; Poales; Poaceae
Description: partial small subunit ribosomal RNA
Source: RNAcentral
CUCAGAACAAUCAUUAUAUUCAUUUGAAAUGAAAAGUAAGUUCAUAAGUUCAUAUGCAUCAGAAGGAGUACAUAUACAUCAUCAUUAUUUUUGCAGGGAAUAUAUACAUCAUCAUCAAUAAGAAACAUGACUUGAUUAUAUGGGUGCAAAGGAAGCUGCCAACUGUUUCUCGUGUGUACGUACUAGCAAAUUAAUGGCAUGCACGCAGUAUAUUAUAGGGCGUGGAUCAAACAGGCACCAUCGGUAGCUAGGAGAUCCAUGGUGAUUGAUCAUGUGUUCUUCAAUCUGACAUCAUAUAUCCAUGGCGUGUGCAGACUUGGGAGAGAGCAGACCCGAGGGAGGGCUGCGACACUGCAGCUGCAGGUGAGAUUGGGCGAGUCGGAUCACUCGUCGCGCAUGCAUGAAACUUCACCAUGGCCGCUCCACCGCACAUGGACGGCUGCGGCGGCGGCAACGACGACGUAAUGUAUCCAAAGACACACACCCUGCAUGUACAAAACAGAUCGGAUGGCAUUGAUUCAUUGAAGUGCACCUAAAUACAAUCGGAU